UACGUAGGGGGCAAGCGUUGUCCGGAUUUAUUGGGCGUAAAGAGCGUGUAGGCGGCCACACAGGUCUGCUGUGAAAACUCGAGGCUCAACCUCGAGCUGUCGGUGGAAACCGUGUGGCUAGAGUCCGGAAGAGGAGAGUGGAAUUCCCGGUGUAGCGGUGAAAUGCGCAGAUAUCAGGAGGAACACCGGUGGCGAAGGCGGUUCUCUGGGCAUUACCUGACGCUGAGGAGCGAAAGUGUGGGGAGCGAACAGG
RNAcentral lists this ribosomal RNA (253 nucleotides) under uncultured bacterium. Its description in RNAcentral is "partial 16S ribosomal RNA". It matches the Rfam family "Bacterial small subunit ribosomal RNA", at positions 524 to 776 of the family's 1533-position model. The record is from RNAcentral.